This is a long non-coding RNA of Cervus hanglu yarkandensis (Yarkand deer), 1732 nucleotides long. The record is from Ensembl. NCBI's taxonomy places the organism in Eukaryota, Metazoa, Chordata, Mammalia, Artiodactyla, Cervidae.
AGAUGUUGGUUGGGGUAUGCAGGAUCUUUUUUUUUUUUUUUCUUUUCUGGUUGCAGCAUGUGGCAUCUUUAGUUGCAGGACAGGGAUUGAACCUGGGCCCCCUGCAUUGGCAGCAUGAAGUCAAAGUCACUGGAUCACCAGAGAAGUCCCAGGGAAGUAUUUUUUAAUUAAAGUAAGAAAGGUACUGAACAUUUUCAUCACCCCCAAAGAUUCCCUUGUGCCCCUUCCCAGUCAACCCCCACUCCUCAUGCCCCUUGCUCUAGGCAACCACUGAGAUGCAUUCUAUCAUGACACGUUGGAUUUUUUUUUUGUCCUGUAGGUUUGUGUAAAUGGAAUCAUAAGCACCGGGCAGAGGAAGAUGAAUCAGACAUGGUCCACUGUCUGGCGCAAGGCUUCUCAACUUUUAAGCCUGUGUCCUCUUUGAUAAUGACGGAAAUCUCAGAUCCUUUCCUGAUUUACAGGUCUACCCCUACCUGUGACGUCAGCUUCAUCUUCCUCAAGAACAGUGCUUAUCAUGUACUCCUCUGCUUGAAUAUCUUCAAUAUCUCCUUAUGACAUCCUGGAGAAAAGAUAACCUUCUUGGGAUGGCAUUCUGGAUCCCGGGAAACUGACUGAAGACACUUCAACCUCACAGGAAACCUGGCAGCCGUGUUAUUGGUGCCUCCUUGAAGACUUCCUGACAUUUCUUUUGAAAUUCUAUCCAUCCUCAAGGGAAAGUUCAAAUGUCACUGUAUUAGUUUUCUAUUGCUGUGUAACAAGCUACCAUAAACUUAGUGGUUUAAACCAACAGCCAUGUAUUACCUCCUCACUUUGUCGGUCAGAAUUCUGAGCAGGUUCAACUGGAUUCUCUGCUCAGGGUCUCGCAAGAUGGAAACCAAGGUGUCAGCUGGAGUAGGCACUUACCCGGAAGCUCCCAGGUAGAAUCUGUCUCCAGCUCAUCCAGAUUGUUGACUGAAUUCUGUUUCUUAUGUUGUAGAAAGAAGAUCAUUUUCCUUACUGGCUGUUGACUGGGGUUACUCUGACCUCAUAGAGGUUGCUCUCGGCUCUUUCCACAUGUCCUCCUCCAUCUCAGUUACAGAAAACCUCCCUUGAGUCCCAAGUUGCCCUCAUGUUUAAGUUUUCUUCUUCUAGAAGAUUCAUGUGAUGAGACUGGGCCCACUUGGAUAAGCUCCCUUUUGCCAAAUAAAGGAUCAUGAUCAUAGGAAUAAUAUCUCAACAUAUCCACAGGUUCUGCCCAUACUCAAAGAGGAUGAAAUUAUAAAAGGGUGAGGAUCACUGGGGUCAUUCUUUAAAUUUUGCGCAUCAUACCACCUCUUUGAGAAACCUCUUCUGAUCCCUUCAGAUGAGUGCCAGCCCCUUCCUCUGCACCUCACAGCAUGUUGUGAGAAUGAAUUCACUCUCUGCACUGGAGUUACUAUGACCUGGUCUCUCUCCACAGAAAAUAAGAGCCCACAGGUCUUCCUUUCCUCUUUGUCUUUCUUAGUCUUGGUUCUUCAAAGUCCCUGAAUUAUUUUUGUGCCAGAAUAUAUUUUGGUAUUGUACUAUAUUUAAAUACUGAAAGACACAUGAAGGACUAAACCUUAAAAUGUUAAAAAAGAAAAUGUACAGAGCCACGAAAUAAAUGAAGUUCUAGAGAAAAGGAAGUUCUAAUAUAAUUUUUACAAGAGUUUUCCAUGACAUUUUCAGUUAUGUCUUCUUGGUGGGUUAAGUAUGAAAUACCCCUCUUUGUUUC